Molecule: ribosomal RNA, 440 nt
Filed under: uncultured bacterium
Lineage: Bacteria
Description: partial 16S ribosomal RNA
Rfam family: Bacterial small subunit ribosomal RNA
Source: RNAcentral
CCUACGGGAGGCAGCAGUGGGGAAUAUUGCACAAUGGGGGAAACCCUGAUGCAGCGACGCCGCGUGAGUGAAGAAGUAUUUCGGUAUGUAAAGCUCUAUCUGCAGGGAAGAAAAUGACGGUACCUGUUUAAGAAGCCCCGGCUAACUACGUGCCAGCAGCCGCGGUAAUACGUAGGGGGCAAGCGUUAUCCGGAUUUACUGGGUGUAAAGGGAGCGUAGACGGCAGCACAAGUCUGGAGUGAAAUGCCGGGGCUUAACCCCGGAACUGCAGUGGAACCUGUGCAGCUAGAGUGCAGGAGAGGGAAGUGGAAUUCGUAGUGUAGCGGUGAAAUGCGUAGAUAUUAGGAGGAACACCAGUGGCGAAGGCGGCUUACUGGACUGUAACUGACGUUGAGGCUCGAAAGCGUGGGGAGCAAACAGGAUUAGAUACCCGUGUAGUC